GAAAUGCGAUACGUAAUGUGAAUUGCAGAAUUCAGUGAAUCAUCGAAUCUUUGAACGCAUAUUGCACUCUCUGGUAUUCCGGAGAGUAUGCUUGUUUGAGUAUCAGUAAACACCUCAGAAAGAAAUUUUUUUUUCUGGAUUUGAGCUGUCCCAACUCUUGUUCAGUCAAGAGGCGGGUUGCUUGAAAUGCAGGUGCAGCUGGACGUCUUCUGGGCUAUAAGCAUAUUCAUUUAGUCCCGUCAAACGGAUUAUAUUUUUUGCUGCAGCCAAUGUAAAGGGAGAAUGGCCGUGUGCUGACUGAUGCAGGAAUUUAUCAGGUCGCAAGAUCUGUAAACUCGAUCUCAAAUCAAGCAAGACUACCCGCUGAACUUAA
This 373-nucleotide unclassified non-coding RNA is filed under the name uncultured fungus. RNAcentral's name for it is "sequence contains ITS1". The stretch from base 1 to 105 matches the Rfam family "5.8S ribosomal RNA", at positions 50 to 154 of the family's 154-position model. Lineage: Eukaryota; Fungi. The record is from RNAcentral.